AACAGAUCAAACCCAUAUCUAUCUUCCUCUUUGCACAACAAAAUCAGAACUAAAAAAAACUAUACAACAACACAUGUAAUGAAUGCAAUACUAACCGGCAAUGGAAAAUGGUACGGUCUGAGCAGUGGGCUUCCGAUGGAAUGGCGAGCAGUGCACGCGAUGAUGUUACGGUUGCACACACAGGGUGAGUCCUGUUUCUUUGUCAGUGGUGCAGUUUUGUGUUGGAGAUGUCGUACUUCGGAAAAAAACACAGAGUCGUCACCGAAUUCUAUUUAUUUUGAAGGUAGGAAAGAUAUCGAGAGAACCUCAGAUAAAUAA
Non-coding RNA from Vicia faba (fava bean), 318 nucleotides. The record is from the annotation of a GenBank genome assembly. Lineage: Eukaryota; Viridiplantae; Streptophyta; Magnoliopsida; Fabales; Fabaceae.